AUUGAACGCUGGCGGCAUGCCUUACACAUGCAAGUCGAACGGCAGCACGGGAGCUUGCUCCUGGUGGCGAGUGGCAAACGGGUGAGUAAUACAUCGGAACGUACCCUGAAGUGGGGGAUAACGUAGCGAAAGUUACGCUAAUACCGCAUAUUCUGUGAGCAGGAAAGAGGGGGAUCGCAAGACCUCUUGCUUUAGGAGCGGCCGAUGUCGGAUCAGCUAGUUGGUGAGGUAAAGGCUCACCAAGGCGACGAUCCGUAGCGGGUCUGAGAGGAUGAUCCGCCACACUGGGACUGAGACACGGCCCAGACUCCUACGGGAGGCAGCAGUGGGGAAUUUUGGACAAUGGGCGCAAGCCUGAUCCAGCCAUGCCGCGUGAGUGAAGAAGGCCUGGUGUAAG
This 397-nucleotide ribosomal RNA is filed under the name uncultured bacterium. RNAcentral describes it as "bacterial SSU rRNA". It matches the Rfam family "Bacterial small subunit ribosomal RNA", at positions 30 to 429 of the family's 1533-position model. The record is from RNAcentral.